GUGAAUCAUCGAAUUUUUGAACGCAAAUUGCACUCUUUGGUAUUCCGGAGAGUAUGCCUGUUUGAGGGUCAGUUUAAAUAAAAAUCGGUGUGGUUGGUGCCUUUCGUGGUGACGCAUUGGAUUUGGGUCGUCUUGACUUCGGCUAAGUGACGUAAAAUUUUGCAUGAUUUUUUUUGAAUGUAUUUAAAUGAAUUUACGUAGGUUUGCGAUAACGAAUACUUGGUACGGUCUUG
RNAcentral lists this unclassified non-coding RNA (233 nucleotides) under Glomus sp. RNAcentral describes it as "partial contains 5.8S ribosomal RNA and internal transcribed spacer 2". The stretch from base 1 to 71 matches the Rfam family "5.8S ribosomal RNA", at positions 84 to 154 of the family's 154-position model. The record is from RNAcentral. Lineage: Eukaryota; Fungi; Glomeromycota; Glomeromycetes; Glomerales; Glomeraceae.